CAAGACGUAGCUACAAACCCUAAAGCAUUCAGCUUACACCUGAAAGAUAUCUCACAAAGGAUCGUCUUGA
RNAcentral lists this transfer RNA (70 nucleotides) under Xenoperdix udzungwensis. RNAcentral's name for it is "tRNA-Val". Lineage: Eukaryota; Metazoa; Chordata; Aves; Galliformes; Phasianidae. The record is from RNAcentral.